UAAAUCACUUCAUUAACAGGGCUGAGGCGAAUCAGGCUCUGGUGCUGUCCCCUGGGCAAUCCAGAGCUGCUGGAUGGCUGCACCCACUUCACCUGCGAUCCCUACAUCCAGAUGGGAAAAUAUAGCAAUGUAUUCCCUCUGCAGCCCCUAACAACUCAGGGUGCCCUUUGGCGGAUGAAGGAUGACAAAGCCUAUUUCAAGGUAUUUUCAUGCCUGCUAAGGUAGCAAAAAUGAUCAGACAGCAUCAAAUUCUUGGUUUCCACAUCCAAAGGAAAGCCUUGCGCUAUGCUGCUGCAAAUUCUUACAUCCAAAUCUGAAGCAGGCAAACUCGGUUCAUCUCUCUUUAUGAUACUGAGCCUCUUAUGUUUUCCCUCCCAGCACUUUCAUCUGCCUUUUGAGCUGCUCAGCAUAGUGAACCAGAUGUAGCAAGAUUUAGGAGUCAGCACUUAAACACUUGCCAACUCUUCUCUGAAAUAGCAAUCUGCCAGCCUGAUACACUCCCUCGAGACAUGUGCUGCUUCCUGGGGGCUUCUAUCAGGGACAUUACUGAAAGACUGCUGAGCCUUGUACAGUCCACUGACUGGUAUCCACUGCUGUUGUUUCGCGUGGGCACCAGAGAUACAACCAGGAGCAGUCUGAGCAGUGUCAUGAAGGACUACGGAGCCCUGGCAGCGGGACUCCGGAGCACAAGUAGUUUUUUCAUCCAUCCUCCUGGUCAAGAGAAGGUUUGAAAGGGCAAGUCGAGUCUGGCAAAUCAACAGUUGGUUACAGGACUGAUGCCACAUCCAGGGGUUUGGCUACUUAGACCAUGAGACUUUGAGAAACAUGGUCUACUGCGGGUGAUGGGGCCCAUCUGUCAGAGAAGGGGAAGAGCAUCUCCAGCCAUGGGCUGGCCAGGCUGGCAAAGAGGCUUUAAACUGAAGUUGCCAGCAGAGGGGAACCUCAAUCCAUCCCACUCCGACCAGUCUGGUGCCGGUGCCAGUAACAGAUGCACAGAGCCUGGAGAGAGGACACAGGGCAGCACGAGAGCACCUGGAGAGCAGCACAGAGGAAUUCCAGCCAGUAAGUCAGCUUCAUCAGAGGCCUAACCUAAAUGCCUCUAAUGUAAAUGCACGCAGCAUGGGGAAUAAACAAGAGCUAGAAUCUGCAGGGCUAUGACCUUACUGCCACCACAGAGAUGUGGGGGAUGGUUCCUAUGGCUGGAGUGUUGGAAUGGAAGGGUACAGGCUCUUUAGGAAGGACAGGAAGGG
This is a long non-coding RNA of Athene cunicularia (burrowing owl), 1250 nucleotides long. RefSeq lists it as uncharacterized. The record is from RefSeq and is a predicted model, not a curated record. The transcript has 2 exons. Lineage: Eukaryota; Metazoa; Chordata; Aves; Strigiformes; Strigidae.